UGGGCUAUUGGGCUGCUCUUAUUGCUUCAGAUCCGAUCCACUUCUGAUCCGCAUCCGUUCCACUUCUGAUCCGCUCCAAAGGUAAAUUGUCUUCAUUUCCCUCUCGUGCCAUAAUUCCCAAUCUAUCAUUCUCAAUCCCUAACCCUUGUCUCAUUUCCCCCAAUUCUCCUUCAUCCUCUUCGCGUUCACGCCCUUCUCCUCCCACCAUGACAAUACCCACCCCUCGAGAGGAUCCUUGUCCCCAAGGAUCAAAAGACGGAAAUUGGCCUUGGAGUACUGAAUAAUCUUCCCAGGUGUCAUGCGAGGCGUCCAGGAGGCUCUGUCGAAGAUGUUGCGACUGGCUCAAUAUGCCUCUUCAACAUACUGACGUGAAAGACUGGAUGCAAUCGAGAAUUUUCAGGGAUGUUUGACGAUAAGGUUGCAACUUCAGAUAUGGGCUAUUGGGCUGCUCUUAUUGCUUCAGAUCCGAUCCACUUCUGAUCCGCAUCCGUUCCACUUCUGAUCCGCUCCAAAGGUAAAUUGUCUUCAUUUCCCUCUCGUGCCAUAAUUCCCAAUCUAUCAUUCUCAAUCCCUAACCCUUGUCUCAUUUCCCCCAAUUCUCCUUCAUCCUCUUCGCGUUCACGCCCUUCUCCUCCCAC
This is a long non-coding RNA of Hibiscus syriacus, 638 nucleotides long. RefSeq lists it as uncharacterized. NCBI's taxonomy places the organism in Eukaryota, Viridiplantae, Streptophyta, Magnoliopsida, Malvales, Malvaceae. The record is from RefSeq and is a predicted model, not a curated record. The transcript has 4 exons.